GACGAACGCUGGCGGCGUGCUUAACACAUGCAAGUCGAACGGAAAGGCCCUGCUUUUGUGGGGUGCUCGAGUGGCGAACGGGUGAGUAACACGUGAGUAACCUGCCCUUGACCUUGGGAUAACCUCAGGAAACUGGGGCUAAUACCGCAUAGGAGCUCCUGCUGCAUGGUGGGGGUUGGAAAGUUUCGGCGGUUGGGGAUGGACUCGCGGCUUAUCAGCUUGUUGGUUGGGUAGUGGCUUACCAAGGCUUUGACCGGUAGCCGGCCUGCGAGGGUGACCGGCCCCAUUGGGACUGAGAUACGGCCCAGACUCCUACGGGAGGCAGCGGUGGGGAAUAGAGCACUAUGGGCGGAAGGCUAAUGCAGCAAAGCAGCGUGCGGGAUGACGUCCUUCGGGUUGUAAACCGCUUUUGCCUGUGACGAAGCGUGAGUGACGGUAAUGGGUGAAGAAGCACCGGCUAACUACGUG
Molecule: ribosomal RNA, 468 nt
Filed under: uncultured bacterium
Lineage: Bacteria
Description: partial 16S ribosomal RNA
Rfam family: Bacterial small subunit ribosomal RNA
Source: RNAcentral